This 295-nucleotide signal recognition particle RNA is filed under the name Loxodonta africana (African savanna elephant). RNAcentral's name for it is "Metazoan signal recognition particle RNA". It matches the Rfam family "Metazoan signal recognition particle RNA". From Rfam's summary of the family: The signal recognition particle (SRP) is a universally conserved ribonucleoprotein. It is involved in the co-translational targeting of proteins to membranes. The record is from Rfam by way of RNAcentral. Lineage: Eukaryota; Metazoa; Chordata; Mammalia; Proboscidea; Elephantidae.
GUCGGGUGCGAUGGUGUGCGCCUGUAGGCCCAGCUACGCAGGAGGCUAAGGCUGGAGGAUCGCUCAAGUCUAGGAGUUCUGGACUGUAGUGCGCUAUGCCGAUCAGGUGUCCACACUAAGCUCGGCAUCAAUAUGGUGACCUCCGGAAGCGGGGAACCACCAGGCUGCCUAAAUAGGGGGAAACCGGCACAGAUCAGAAAUGGAACAGGUCACAACUCCUGUGCUGAUUAGUAAAAAGAUCUAUUAUAAUCCAACUUUAGCAGGCGAGCCUAAAUUUCAAAUACUCUAAUCUGCU